GCCUACGGGAGGGCAGCAGUGGGGAAUAUUGGACAAUGGGCGAAAGCCUGAUCCAGCAACGCCGCGUGGAGGAUGAAGGCCUUCGGGUUGUAAACUCCUGUCAGGUGGUAACGAACGAGCCGUGGCUAAUACCGCAAGGCUCUUGACGGUACUACCAGAGGAGCCCCG
Molecule: ribosomal RNA, 168 nt
Filed under: uncultured bacterium
Lineage: Bacteria
Description: partial 16S ribosomal RNA
Rfam family: Bacterial small subunit ribosomal RNA
Source: RNAcentral